This is a microRNA precursor of Xenopus tropicalis (tropical clawed frog), 108 nucleotides long. Ensembl annotates it as xtr-mir-98. Its record names the gene xtr-mir-98. The record is from Ensembl. NCBI's taxonomy places the organism in Eukaryota, Metazoa, Chordata, Amphibia, Anura, Pipidae.
UCUGCCCUCUUCAGGAUGAGGUAGUAAGUUGUAUUGUUGUGGGGGUUUUUAUUUCCCCAAAUUAGGAGAUAACUAUACAGCUUACUGCCUUCCCUGCAGCAUGGUAAU